Molecule: long non-coding RNA, 3832 nt
Organism: Loxodonta africana (African savanna elephant)
Lineage: Eukaryota; Metazoa; Chordata; Mammalia; Proboscidea; Elephantidae
Exons: 3
Source: RefSeq, a predicted model, not a curated record
GAGGAAAGAGGUCAAAGUAAUUGUAUUUAUUGAGUUCUUGCUUUGUACCAGCUGCUGUCCUAUGACUUUAAAGAUAUAAUCUCAUUUAAUGCUUAUAAUAAGACUCUUAUCAUUAUGAAAACUGUACAGAUGCAAAACUAAGGUAAAAUUUAAAUACCUUACUCAAGAUCACUUAGCUACUUGAAGAUGAAGGUAGGAUACUGUUAUAGACUGAAUUGUGUCUCCCCCAAAAUAUGUGUCAACUUGGUGAGGCCAUGAUUCCUAGUGUUGUGUGGUUGUCCUCCAUUUUGUGAUUGAUGUAAUUUUUCUAUGUGUUGUAAAUCCUAAUCUCUGCCUGUGGUUAAUGAGGCAAGAUUAGAUUAUGUUGAAGAGGAUUAGGGUGGGAUGUAACACCCUUACUCAGAUCACAUCCCUGACCCAAUGUAAAGGGUGUUUUCCUAGGAUGUGGCCUGUAUCACCUCUUACAAGAGAUAAAAGGAGAGAGAAGUGAGCAGAGAGUUGGGGACCUCAUACCACCAAAAAAGCAGUACCAGGAGCAGAGUGCAUCCUUGGGACCUCAGAUUCCUGUUCAGAGGAGCUCCUUGACCAGAGGAAGAUUGAUGACAAGGACCUUCUUCCAGAGUCGACGGAGAAAUCCUCCCCUGAAGCUGACGCCCUGAAUUCGGACUUCUAGCCUGCUAGACUGUGAGGGAAUAAACUUCUGUUUGUUAAAGCCAACCACUUGUGGUAUUUCUGUUACAGCACCACUAGAUCACUAAGACAUGCUCAUAAGCCCUAUGCUGUAUUGCCUUGUGUAGGUGGCCUGCCUUAACAGCGCAAAGUUUGCAAGGUUAGUAUUCAGAUUAGUGUUCAAAUCCUAUGGAUUUUACAAAAUGAUCCUAGAAAAUUUGUGUGGAGGAGGGCUCUCUGGAUAGGAAUUGAUAGAAACAACUUAAACUAGCUUAAGUUAAAAGGGAGAUUUUUGGCAACAAACUGAGAUGGCUCUCAGAAUGAAGGAUGAAGUUGACAGCUAAGGCUUGGAAGGCCAGGAAACAGAGCAUCUCUGGGGUUUCAGCUCCUGGAACCAGGGAUUUGAAAACUCCCAGGGCCUUCCUACCUCUCACCUUUUUCCUUUCCUCAGAUUGACUUCAUUUGCUCCUAUUGCAGGAGGGCUCUGUCAUAGGGUAGGGGAUGACAUCUGCCACCUGUGGGCUCCUAGCCUAGCAAACAGCUUCACAGGCAGGCAGGCAGAAAUAAAGCCCUUUUCUUUCUCAGUUCAGGGUAAAAAGUUCCCAGGGAAGAAGAGUGAUUGGUCCAGCUUAGGUCAUGUGCCUAACCGUGGACCAACCACUGUGGCCCUGAGGCAGAGUUAUAUGAUUGGCAGCCCCCACCCACUAGGAUCACAUGGUUUAAAGGAGCCUUUCCCAGAAGAAGGAAGCUGCUGUUCUAGACAGGCAAAACAAUAAAUGCUCAAGAAAAAUAGGACUAUUAGCAAGAGAAUUACAAGGAUCAGGAGGUGCAAAACAGCCAAGAUUGAACGGUUCAACAGCAAGGAUAAAAUGCUCAAUAAACUUUGGAAACACUAUGUAAUGAAAACAAGAGUUAGACAUGAGGAGUGGAGAUGUAUCUAAACUAAGUAGAAGGUCUAAAGAGCAAUUAAAAGAUGAAUUAGGAUACCAGCUCUGAAACCUUAAAAUAGUUCUAUUAUUAAGGCAGAUGGAUUCUGGGAGAGUUGAUUAACGCAGGGUCAUGCUCAUAGCUUGUGCCCACUAAAUAUUAAUUCAUUUUGAUGACAGGUCUUAUUAGGAAUUAUUGCUUGUGGCACUUUACAUAUCUAUAACAUAUAUUUUUAGCAGAAUAAUUUGCAUAUGUAAAGUUCUGCAUAAAUGCAACCAAUACUUAAUUUAUUAUAGAGUCAGUGGGUUUAUAUUUACUCUUUCAAGCAUGCAUGUAUUCAUUUAUCUAUUUUCUACUAAUUGAAUGUGUACUCUAUUCCGGGUACUCUGUUGGGCAUAUCCUGUUUCUGCCUUCAAAGUGCUUAGUGUCCAGAGCAGGAGACAGAGUUAUAAAUAAAUUGUGCCUGGAUAGGCGAAUGCUGUGGGGCAUUGCCCACAUCAUCCCUUCAACACUGAGGCACUCUUUCCCCCAUCUAUGGGGAGUGUUUCCUGUUAUAGGCUCACAGAUGAGUCCAUCCCCUGGAAUUGCCCUUGGCUGAAGGGUGCUGCCUCCUCCAAGGGUACAAUCCUGAUGCAGGGAUAGUCCAAUGGUUGGUGAAUGACUGGUCAUUGAGGUGUUAUAAAGGCCCAGCAUCUUUGCUUCAAUUGGAGACAACAUCUAUAACAUCUAUGUUGGAUAUUCUGCUUGGAGGGUUGGAGGAAAGAGAAGCUGGCAGAGUACUUACUCACCCAUUCCACAGCUCCCUGCUUGCCUGGUCACGGUUUGGCAGUGGCUGUGUUCAAGAACACCUGUCCUUGGCCCCUCUUCCUUGGCUGUAAUUCCCUCCCCUGCCCCAUCAGGCCUAGGGGUGCUAACAGCUUCCUUCUGUUUGAGUCUCUGGCGUUUCUCCUUCCUCUUGCUGGGCGCUUAACCCUGCCAACCAUCAGGAAGGUAUAAUAUUGGGCAUCUAGCACUGUUUUUUUUUUUUUUUUUUUAGUAACCGAAAAAAAACAAACCAUAUGCUGUGGAGUCAGUUCCAACUCAUGGCGACCCGAUGUGUGUCAGAGUAGAACUGUGCUCCCUAGGGUUUCAGUGGCUGCAACCUUUUGGAAGUAGAUCACCAGGCUUUUCUUCCAAGGUGCCUCUGGAUGGAUUCCACCUGCCAAACUUUCAGUUUGUAGCCAAACUCCUGUUUGUGCUACCCAGGGACCCUGCCCUGGAAUUUAGUAGCUAUAUUAUUAAUUUUUUUAUUAUUAAUAUUAAAUUAAUAGCUAAGCUCUCAGAGAAAAUUCUUGUCAGUUCUUUCUAAUCUCGAAUCUAUUUCUUGCCAUCUGCACUAGUCUGUGCCCCAUCUUCUCUCUCCUGGGUUCCUGCAAUACCUCCUAAUGGGACUUGAUGCUCUCUCUGUUCUGGUUAUUUUUCUAUGGGCUCCAAGAUACCCUUCUGCACUCUCUUCUGUAAUACUGGGGUUGGUAUUUCGCAAACCAAAUCUCCCCGCCUCCCUGCUAGCUGGCUUCCUAUCAGUGCCGCAAUGCGAGGUGCAAGGCAAUAGAAGGAGAUUGGAAGGAGGAAGGGGCUCCUUUCCUAUUUUUCGCUUCCUGUUUUCAGUGUUGCUCCAGUAGCAGUAGAAAAUUGGCUCUAUUUUUUAGCUCCUUUGAAUACUCCCAGCUCCAACCUUGCUGUGCCUUCCCUCACUCCUGAGCUGCCAGCAGCAGCCAGCCAGGCCUGGGAGACCACCCAUGCCACACUCCUUACCUGUUGGACUGUGCCCCUGGGAGGUCUGAGCACCCAUGGAGACUCACUCCUUGGUGCAAGCACCAGCCACACAGCAACCCCCUCCGCAGAGGUCUGAGUGGGGCAGAGCUUCCUCCAGAGAUCUAAGCACUAGCCUCACUUGGCCCCUCCUCCAAGCUCCCAGCUUCCCUCCGGUUCUCCACCCUUAGAAGGUCUUCUCAGUUGAACUGUUGCCCCACUGUUACCACAGCUUGCUCUACUUGCCAGUGAAAGAUGGGUAUCCCCUAGAGAAAGCAGAGCAACAAGAAAGAAGACUCCUGGACCCCCAACAAUGUGGACCUGCCUUAUCAGUCCUGGACUGCAUGUUUGAGAGAGAAUUAAAUUUCUGUCUUGUCCGAGUCAUUGUUACUUUGGUCAAUAUCCUAAUAGAGAAACUGAUUAAAAGCAAAUUUCUGAACCUCUA